UCGACGGUAACAGGUUUUUUUCGGAAAAUGCUGACGAGUGGCGAACGGGUGAGUAAUGCACGGGAAUCUACCUAAAAGAGGGGAAUAGUUAUAGGAAACUAUAGGUAAUACCCCAUACGUCCUACGGGAGAAAGCAGGGGAUCUUGUGAAAGACCUUGCGCUUUUAGAUGAGCUCGUGUCGGAUUAGCUAGUUGGUAAGGUAAAGGCUUACCAAGGUUACGAUCCGUAGUUGAUCUGAGAGGAUGAUCAGCCACACUGGGAUUGAGAUACGGCCCAGACUCCUACGGGAGGCAGCAGUGGGGAAUAUUGGACAAUGGGCGGAAGCCUGAUCCAGCAAUGUCGCGUGUGCGAAGAAGGCCUUAGGGUUGUAAAGCACUUUCAGUAAUGAAGAAGUAAUGUUUGCUAAUACCAAAUGUUAUUGACGUUAGUUACAGAAGAAGUACUGGCUAACUCUGUGCCAGCAGCCGCGGUAAUACAGGGAGUGCAAGCGUUAAUCGGAAUUAUUGGGCGUAAAGGGUGUGUAGGUUGUUGAAAUAGUUAGAUGUGAAAUCCCUAAGCUUAACUUAGGAAUUGCAUUUAAUACUUUUUAACUAGAGUCUUGUAGGGGAAAGUAGAAUUUCCGGUGUAGCGGUGAAAUGCGUAGAUAUCGGAAGGAAUACCAGAGGCGAAGGCGACUUUCUGGACAAGUACUGACACUGA
This 699-nucleotide ribosomal RNA is filed under the name uncultured Gammaproteobacteria bacterium. Its description in RNAcentral is "bacterial SSU rRNA". It matches the Rfam family "Bacterial small subunit ribosomal RNA", at positions 62 to 749 of the family's 1533-position model. Lineage: Bacteria; Pseudomonadati; Pseudomonadota; Gammaproteobacteria. The record is from RNAcentral.